Pimephales promelas (fathead minnow) is the source of this 424-nucleotide non-coding RNA. Lineage: Eukaryota; Metazoa; Chordata; Actinopteri; Cypriniformes; Leuciscidae. The record is from RefSeq and is a predicted model, not a curated record.
CGCGUUUGAAUCCGCACAUGCGUGUUUGGACAAGACAGUCUAACUGCGCACUUUGGAUCUGAGACGAAUUGGCGGGCUGCUGCGUGGCUGCUUUCUGUCGUGUUUGAGAUCAAGGAGGAAUUCAGGAGAAUCGAUCAUGGGGCAGAGAUUCAUGUUCAGACUUGACCAAUGCACAUCAAGACUUAUUGCCCUGAUGAAGGCCAUGGGAGGUGUUGUGGGGACCAACUGAGGCCAUUUCUGGACAAACUGAGUCAGACACAAAGCCUUGAGAUGGGAAUCAGUUAUCCGCAGCCUCAUUCUCUACUUUGACGAUAAAGAAGAUGAUAAACUGUGUUUUGAAGAUGAACAGAGUUCUGACGGGCUCGGGACGACAUGAGGGUGAGUCAUUAAUGACAUCAUUUUCAUUUUCACAAUCACGAAACGU